RNAcentral lists this ribosomal RNA (498 nucleotides) under uncultured bacterium. RNAcentral describes it as "partial 16S ribosomal RNA". It matches the Rfam family "Bacterial small subunit ribosomal RNA", at positions 28 to 507 of the family's 1533-position model. The record is from RNAcentral.
GAUGAACGCUGGCGGCGUGCCUAAUACAUGCAAGUCGAGCGAACAGACGAGGAGCUUGCUCCUCUGACGUUAGCGGCGGACGGGUGAGUAACACGUGGAUAACCUACCUAUAAGACUGGGAUAACUUCGGGAAACCGGAGCUAAUACCGGAUAAUAUAUUGAACCGCAUGGUUCAAUAGUGAAAGACGGUUUUGCUGUCACUUAUAGAUGGAUCCGCGCCGCAUUAGCUAGUUGGUAAGGUAACGGCUUACCAAGGCGACGAUGCGUAGCCGACCUGAGAGGGUGAUCGGCCACACUGGAACUGAGACACGGUCCAGACUCCUACGGGAGGCAGCAGUAGGGAAAUCUUCCGCAAUGGGCGAAAGCCUGACGGAGCAACGCCGCGUGAGUGAUGAAGGUCUUCGGAUCGUAAAACUCUGUUAUUAGGGAAGAACAAAUGUGUAAGUAACUAUGCACGUCUUGACGGUACCUAAUCAGAAAGCCACGGCUAACUACGUG